Molecule: transfer RNA, 73 nt
Filed under: Stegodyphus mimosarum
Lineage: Eukaryota; Metazoa; Arthropoda; Arachnida; Araneae; Eresidae
Rfam family: tRNA
About the family: Transfer RNA (tRNA) molecules are approximately 80 nucleotides in length. Their secondary structure includes four short double-helical elements and three loops (D, anti-codon, and T loops). Further hydrogen bonds mediate the characteristic L-shaped molecular structure. tRNAs have two regions of fundamental functional importance: the anti-codon, which is responsible for specific mRNA codon recognition, and the 3' end, to which the tRNAs corresponding amino acid is attached (by aminoacyl-tRNA synthetases). tRNAs cope with the degeneracy of the genetic code in two manners: having more than one tRNA (with a specific anti-codon) for a particular amino acid; and 'wobble' base-pairing, i.e. permitting non-standard base-pairing at the 3rd anti-codon position.
Source: Rfam by way of RNAcentral
ACCUUCGUGGUGUAGUGGUCAGCACGCUCGACGCGUAACCGAGAUACCCGUGGUUCGAUUCCCGGCGAAGGCG